GCGAGCGUGGCGAAAUUGGUAUACGCACCAGAUUUAGGAUCUGACGCCUCUGGCAUGGGGGUUCGAGUCCCCCCGCUCGCA
This 81-nucleotide transfer RNA is filed under the name Dialister sp. CAG:588. It matches the Rfam family "tRNA". From Rfam's summary of the family: Transfer RNA (tRNA) molecules are approximately 80 nucleotides in length. Their secondary structure includes four short double-helical elements and three loops (D, anti-codon, and T loops). The record is from Rfam by way of RNAcentral. Lineage: Bacteria; Bacillati; Bacillota; Negativicutes; Veillonellales; Veillonellaceae.